UGCGUAGGCGGAUGGGUAAGUGGGUCGUGAAAGCGCCGGGCUAAACCGGGCGAGGACGAACUAGACUGCCUGUCUAGAGGCGGAUAGAGGGGUGCGAAAUUCCGGGUGUAGCGGUGAAAUGUGUAGAGAUCCGGAGGAACACCAGUGGUGCAAACGGCGCCCUGGGUCCGAACUGACGCUGAGGCACGAAAGCGUGGGGAGCGAAG
RNAcentral lists this ribosomal RNA (206 nucleotides) under uncultured bacterium. RNAcentral's name for it is "partial 16S ribosomal RNA". It matches the Rfam family "Bacterial small subunit ribosomal RNA", at positions 568 to 773 of the family's 1533-position model. The record is from RNAcentral.